Molecule: long non-coding RNA, 327 nt
Organism: Labrus mixtus (cuckoo wrasse)
Lineage: Eukaryota; Metazoa; Chordata; Actinopteri; Labriformes; Labridae
Exons: 2
Source: RefSeq, a predicted model, not a curated record
UCCCUGCUCGAUGCAUUCAUUUUUGAGUUAAUCACACAGAUAAUCACCUUCUCUCUUCUCAUCACCAGAGGUCUUUCUCUAAUCCAGUGGUUGUUUAUUUUAUUGUUUGCACUCCCCUUUCAUGAGAUAAGAGAUCAGAAUUCUGGUGGAAACAACAAUGAGGAUGAUAGAAGAAGAAGAAGUGAAAUAUUGACUUUAUGGAGACUGCAAAUACUUGCCUACGUGCCUGCUUUUUUUUUUUUUUGUAGGUAUGGGGGUCAUAAACCGGCUCUGUGAUUUUCAUAAAUCCGUUCAAAGGAAUCUAGCAGGGAUUGGGUUCUUUUUUUU